AUCCCUCAGCCCCCAUCGCUUUUUGUUAAGCGAUUGGUUUGGGUCUGGAUUUUGGGCGUCUCCUGCCAGUGCGCUUUUCAAAGCGCUUGGCUCGCCUCAAAGAGAUUAGCUGGACCCCAUUCCGAGCUGGUUCAACUCGACGUGAUAAUUUCAUUCGUCGAGGUAUGGUUUCGCCUUCGCGGGCAGACCAGCCAGGUGUAGGAAUCCGGUCCGCUUCGAACCUCCGUCUGAAGCCAGCAAUGGUGUGAAGCGGAUUUCAUUUAAUG
RNAcentral lists this unclassified non-coding RNA (266 nucleotides) under Golubevia pallescens. Its description in RNAcentral is "sequence contains ITS2". Lineage: Eukaryota; Fungi; Basidiomycota; Exobasidiomycetes; Golubeviales; Golubeviaceae. The record is from RNAcentral.